This 1517-nucleotide long non-coding RNA is filed under the name Capra hircus (goat). RNAcentral describes it as "lncRNA (ENSCHIG00010004798.1)". Lineage: Eukaryota; Metazoa; Chordata; Mammalia; Artiodactyla; Bovidae. The record is from RNAcentral.
UUCAGUAGACUCACAAAGGACAUCUGAAUGACCCUGCUUGCCUUGCCUGGGACUCUGUGAAGAGGACUGUGGUCAGGCAGGGUUGGCCACUGUGCCCAGGGCAUGGCAUUCACCAUUGAACCGUGAAGUCUUUCCCCUUCCACGCCUGUAGCACUUAGUACUCUCUUGUGCCUCUUACCUCACCUGAUUAUCCUGUUUUCUUAUACACCAGGCUGGUUGGCAGAGUACAGCACAACUCAUUUCGCGGGAUCUGGGGUGUGAAUGGCUCUGCUAAUGGGCGCCAGCGUGACCUGCAUAACCACCUGAUAGUCUUCUUGCCCGACUAGGAUAUAAACGAUUAGAGGGCUGAUGUCAUGGAAUAGGAAAUUUUCAAAAAUAUUCAAGUGAACUGACCAAGUCAGGAGCCCAGCCCUAACUCUACUGUCUACCAGAAGGGAUAACUUGCUUUCCCAAGAUUAAAAUCUGCCCUACAAAAUCUGUGCUGUUUGGUAACAUUAAAAAAAAAAAAAUUAAAAUUGUGUCAUGUUUCUCGUGGGUCAUAGGUGCUCAGGUUUUGCCUGAGGCCCCAUCGCUCUGUAUUUUGUUAUGGCAGGCUUAUUCCCACGUUUAUGAUACCUGCCAGGCCACUGUAGGAAUUUUGACAUGUGGCUUGGCCUUUCUGGAGCCCAUUUAACCUCUUGGACUGCAGUUUUUUCAUCUGUAAAAUUGUCCUGCUACCUGCUCUGCCCACAUCAUGAGACCUUCCGAUGACCCAAAGAGGUAAUCCAGGAAAAGGACUAUAAAGUUCACAAAAUACAACAUAAUAGAAUGUAUCCUCAUUAAAUUCAUUAAUAGUGUUAUGAUUAUUAUUUUUAUGGUAUUGAAAUGUGAUCAAACCCAACGUCUAGUAUCUGCAAGUAAAGCUUCUUGACUUUCAUCUAAUAAAACUGAAUCUUCACCCAUUGGUUGGCAGACCAGCAUAAAACCUGUGGAAUGUUAAAUUUCUGGGCACAUUCUCGUUCUCUUUUUAUAUUCCCCUGUGGUUUCUUGUGACUUUACAAAGAUCAAGAGGCCACCUCACAGGUUACCUUUCAUUCAGGAGGUUGUGGCAUCCUAUUCAUUGUGAAGUUCUGGAAAUUUUCCUCCUCAUCAUAGAAAACUGGUGUCACGUGGAGUAUCCUUUCCUCACUCUUGCCCCCUGCUUCCUCUUUGGUGACUAAAACUAGAGAAAAGAAAUCGGAAACCAUGUGUGUUAGAAUGGAACACCCAUCACAGGACACUUCCAAACUUUCAGACAUAUUUAGCUCUUGAAUAUUAUGGAUCUUUCGUGUAUCCUUUGGUGAAAUGUUAAACAAAAUGGUAGACAAAGUGUAGACUCUCUGAAACCCCCGGAGCUGCGUGAUUUGAGUACUUGUUCAGAGAUGAGCCAUGAGGAAGGUUUAUGCAGUGUUUGCUAUGCCUGUGUCAUUUGAGUGCUUCCUUGGUGGGUCAGCUGGUAAAGAAUCUACCUGCAAUGUGGGAGACCUGGGUUCGAUCCC